RNAcentral lists this ribosomal RNA (2488 nucleotides) under Streptococcus pneumoniae. RNAcentral describes it as "bacterial LSU rRNA". It matches the Rfam family "Bacterial large subunit ribosomal RNA", at positions 423 to 2925 of the family's 2925-position model. Lineage: Bacteria; Bacillati; Bacillota; Bacilli; Lactobacillales; Streptococcaceae. The record is from RNAcentral.
CACGUGAAAUCCCGUCGGAAUCUGGGAGGACCAUCUCCCAACCCUAAAUACUCCCUAGUGACCGAUAGUGAACCAGUACCGUGAGGGAAAGGUGAAAAGCACCCCGGGAGGGGAGUGAAAUAGAACCUGAAACCGUGUGCCUACAACAAGUUCGAGCCCGUUAAUGGGUGAGAGCGUGCCUUUUGUAGAAUGAACCGGCGAGUUACGUUAUGAUGCGAGGUUAAGUUGAAGAGACGGAGCCGUAGGGAAACCGAGUCUGAAUAGGGCGCCUUAGUAUCAUGACGUAGACCCGAAACCAUGUGACCUACCCAUGAGCAGGUUGAAGGUGCGGUAAGACGCACUGGAGGACCGAACCAGGGCACGUUGAAAAGUGCUUGGAUGACUUGUGGGUAGCGGAGAAAUUCCAAACGAACUUGGAGAUAGCUGGUUCUCUCCGAAAUAGCUUUAGGGCUAGCGUCGACAUUAGAGAUUCUUGGAGGUAGAGCACUGUUUGGGUGAGGGGUCCAUCCCGGAUUACCAAUCUCAGAUAAACUCCGAAUGCCAAUGAAUUAUGGUCGGCAGUCAGACUGCGAGUGCUAAGAUCCGUAGUCGAAAGGGAAACAGCCCAGACCACCAGCUAAGGUCCCAAAAUAAUUGUUAAGUGGAAAAGGAUGUGGGGUUGCACAGACAACUAGGAUGUUAGCUUAGAAGCAGCUAUUCAUUCAAAGAGUGCGUAAUAGCUCACUAGUCGAGUGACCCUGCGCCGAAAAUGUACCGGGGCUAAAACAAUUUACCGAAGCUGUGGAUACCUUUAUAGGUAUGGUAGGAGAGCGUUCUAUGUGUGAUGAAGGUAUACCGUGAGGAGUGCUGGAACGCAUAGAAGUGAGAAUGCCGGUAUGAGUAGCGAAAGACAGGUGAGAAUCCUGUCCACCGUAAGACUAAGGUUUCCAGGGGAAGGCUCGUCCGCCCUGGGUUAGUCGGGACCUAAGGAGAGACCGAAAGGUGUAUCCGAUGGACAACAGGUUGAUAUUCCUGUACUAGAGUAUGUAGUGAUGGAGGGACGCAGUAGGCUAACUAAAGCAGACGAUUGGAAGAGUCUGUCUAAGCAGUGAGGUGUGAAUUGAGUCAAAUGCUUAAUUCUAUAACAUUGAGCUGUGAUGGGGAGCGAAGUUUAGUAGCGAAGUUAGUGACGUCACACUGCCAAGAAAAGCUUCUAGCGUUUAAACAUACUCUACCCGUACCGCAAACCGACACAGGUAGUCGAGGCGAGUAGCCUCAGGUGAGCGAGAGAACUCUCGUUAAGGAACUCGGCAAAAUGACCCCGUAACUUCGGGAGAAGGGGUGCUGACUUUAAGUCAGCCGCAGUGAAUAGGCCCAAGCAACUGUUUAUCAAAAACACAGCUCUCUGCUAAAUCGUAAGAUGAUGUAUAGGGGGUGACGCCUGCCCGGUGCUGGAAGGUUAAGAGGAGUGCUUAGCGUAAGCGAAGGUAUGAAUUGAAGCCCCAGUAAACGGCGGCCGUAACUAUAACGGUCCUAAGGUAGCGAAAUUCCUUGUCGGGUAAGUUCCGACCCGCACGAAAGGCGUAAUGAUUUGGGCACUGUCUCAACGAGAGACUCGGUGAAAUUUUAGUACCUGUGAAGAUGCAGGUUACCCGCGACAGGACGGAAAGACCCCAUGGAGCUUUACUGCAGUUUGAUAUUGAGUGUCUGUACCACAUGUACAGGAUAGGUAGGAGUCUAAGAGAUCGGGACGCCAGUUUCGAAGGAGACGCUGUUGGGAUACUACCCUUGUGUUAUGGCCACUCUAACCCAGAUAGGUGAUCCCUAUCGGAGACAGUGUCUGACGGGCAGUUUGACUGGGGCGGUCGCCUCCUAAAAGGUAACGGAGGCGCCCAAAGGUUCCCUCAGAAUGGUUGGAAAUCAUUCGCAGAGUGUAAAGGUAUAAGGGAGCUUGACUGCGAGAGCUACAACUCGAGCAGGGACGAAAGUCGGGCUUAGUGAUCCGGUGGUUCCGUAUGGAAGGGCCAUCGCUCAACGGAUAAAAGCUACCCUGGGGAUAACAGGCUUAUCUCCCCCAAGAGUUCACAUCGACGGGGAGGUUUGGCACCUCGAUGUCGGCUCGUCGCAUCCUGGGGCUGUAGUCGGUCCCAAGGGUUGGGCUGUUCGCCCAUUAAAGCGGCACGCGAGCUGGGUUCAGAACGUCGUGAGACAGUUCGGUCCCUAUCCGUCGCGGGCGUAGGAAAUUUGAGAGGAUCUGCUCCUAGUACGAGAGGACCAGAGUGGACUUACCGCUGGUGUACCAGUUGUCUUGCCAAAGGCAUCGCUGGGUAGCUAUGUAGGGAAGGGAUAAACGCUGAAAGCAUCUAAGUGUGAAACCCACCUCAAGAUGAGAUUUCCCAUGAUUAUAUAUCAGUAAGAGCCCUGAGAGAUGAUCAGGUAGAUAGGUUAGAAGUGGAAGUGUGGCGACACAUGUAGCGGACUAAUACUAAUAGCUCGAGGACUUAUCCAA